RNAcentral lists this ribosomal RNA (483 nucleotides) under uncultured bacterium. RNAcentral describes it as "partial 16S ribosomal RNA". It matches the Rfam family "Bacterial small subunit ribosomal RNA", at positions 30 to 506 of the family's 1533-position model. The record is from RNAcentral.
AUUGAACGCUGGCGGCAGGCCUAACACAUGCAAGUCGAGCGGAUGAAGGGAGCUUGCUCCUGGAUUCAGCGGCGGACGGGUGAGUAAUGCCUAGGAAUCUGCCUGGUAGUGGGGGAUAACGUCCGGAAACGGGCGCUAAUACCGCAUACGUCCUGAGGGAGAAAGUGGGGGAUCUUCGGACCUCACGCUAUCAGAUGAGCCUAGGUCGGAUUAGCUAGUUGGUGGGGUAAAGGCCUACCAAGGCGACGAUCCGUAACUGGUCUGAGAGGAUGAUCAGUCACACUGGAACUGAAACACGGUCCAGACUCCUACGGGAGGCAGCAGUGGGGAAUAUUGGACAGUGGGCGAAAGCCUGAUCCAGCCAUGCCGCGUGUGUGAAGAAGGUCUUCGGAUUGUAAAGCACUUUAAGUUGGGAGGAAGGGCAGUAAGUUAAUACCUUGCUGUUUUGACGUUACCAACAGAAUAAGCACCGGCUAACUUCGU